RNAcentral lists this microRNA precursor (151 nucleotides) under Mustela putorius furo (domestic ferret). RNAcentral's name for it is "miRNA (ENSMPUG00000021083.1)". The stretch from base 49 to 100 matches the Rfam family "mir-1302 microRNA precursor family". The record is from RNAcentral. Lineage: Eukaryota; Metazoa; Chordata; Mammalia; Carnivora; Mustelidae.
AAUACAGAAAGCUCAGCAAAAUCAGAUUUCAGAUAAGCAACAAGUAAUUUUGUAGCAUAAGUAUAUCCCAUGCAAUAGUUGGGAUAUACUUAUGCUACAAAUUCUUUGUAGUUUAUCUGAAAUUCAGCUUCCAUGGGACAUUUUGUGUUUU